AUUGAACGCUGGCGGCAUGCUUUGCACAUGCAAGUCGAACGGCAGCGCGGGCUUCGGCCUGGCGGCGAGUGGCGAACGGGUGAGUAAUGCAUCGGAACGUGCCCAGUAGUGGGGGAUAGCCCGGCGAAAGCCGGAUUAAUACCGCAUACGACCUGAGGGUGAAAGCGGGGGACCGAAAGGCCUCGCGCUAUUGGAGCGGCCGAUGUCGGAUUAGCUAGUUGGUGGGGUAAAGGCUUACCAAGGCGACGAUCCGUAGCUGGUCUGAGAGGACGACCAGCCACACUGGGACUGAGACACGGCCCAGACUCCUACGGGAGGCAGCAGUGGGGAAUUUUGGACAAUGGGGGCAACCCUGAUCCAGCCAUGCCGCGUGCGGGAAGAAGGCCUUCGGGUUGUAAACCGCUUUUGUUCGGGAAGAAAUCCUCUGGGCUAAUACCCCGGGGGGAUGACGGUACCGGAAGAAUAAGCACCGGCUAACUACGUG
This 484-nucleotide ribosomal RNA is filed under the name uncultured bacterium. Its description in RNAcentral is "partial 16S ribosomal RNA". It matches the Rfam family "Bacterial small subunit ribosomal RNA", at positions 28 to 507 of the family's 1533-position model. The record is from RNAcentral.